UACGGGAGGCAGCAGUGGGGAAUAUUGCACAAUGGGCGCAAGCCUGAUGCAGCCAUGCCGCGUGUAUGAAGAAGGCCUUCGGGUUGUAAAGUACUUUCAGUCGUGAGGAAGGUGUUAAGGUUAAUAACCUUAGCAAUUGACGUUAGCGACAGAAGAAGCACCGGCUAACUCCGUGCCAGCAGCCGCGGUAAUACGGAGGGUGCGAGCGUUAAUCGGAAUUACUGGGCGUAAAGGGCACGCAGGCGGUUAAUUAAGUUGGAUGUGAAAUCCCCGGGCUUAACCUGGGAAUGGCAUUCAAGACUGGUUAGCUAGAGUCUUGUAGAGGGGGUAGAAUUCCAUGUGUAGCGGUGAAAUGCGUAGAGAUGUGGAGGAAUACCGGUGGCGAAGGCGGCCCCUGGAC
RNAcentral lists this ribosomal RNA (400 nucleotides) under uncultured bacterium. RNAcentral describes it as "bacterial SSU rRNA". It matches the Rfam family "Bacterial small subunit ribosomal RNA", at positions 340 to 734 of the family's 1533-position model. The record is from RNAcentral.